UAGUUAGCUGCAUGAAUUUUGCACACUUAAGCCGAAAUUCCCCUCCAUUUUGUGACUUCAUGACAGACUACACCUUUUUUCAAUUACGAACUUUUAUUUUAAAAUUGUCUUUUACUAGCCUGACUUUACAGUUUGCUUUUGCUUUGCAGUUGCCUUUCCAGAAAAGUUUGGUCGCCUUAUAUUAUUAUAUGUCCAGUCCAGAUUUUCAUAGUUUUUGCAACUCCUGGUUGAAAUUUAUUUUACAGCAAUACGUUGAUUAUCUGGCACUUGGUGGCGGAGACCCACUCCAGUCAUGGCCCUUGCCCGAUGGUAAAAAUUGCCUUUUAAAGAUAUCGUCACAAUUGGAACAUGAAUGAGUCCUGAGAUAUCAAACAAAUGGAGACUGCGAUUUGAACCAGCGAUGAGCAAAACCACUGCAUCCGGAAGAUAGAUAGCAUCAGUGACCCAGCAGCUUAUGGAUAUUUUUUGCACUUCCUCAUUACCCUCCUUCGCCAGCGCAACAGUGUACGAGUCGAGGAGUUGCAAAUUUUUAUUGUAAAUUCCCACUCGGCCAUAUUACAGAUGAUAAUGUAACAGAAUGAUAGCUCUGUCUCCACUGGGAUUAUCUUAAUAAUCGUUUCUCUCUGUAUAUCAUAAAUCUUCAAUACAGUAGAUUCAAUUGUACAUAGGUAUCUCAUUUGAGGCACUUACAUUUAACUUAACAUGGACAAAAAACAUUUUGAAUUAAUUUUUGUGUGUUGAAGAAUUACUGGAAAGAGGAUCGAAGACUGCCUACUUGAUUUAUUUAUAUUCAGACAGUUUUACUCAAUCAGAUUAUAACUGUGCCAUUAUUUCAUAAUUGAGUUUACAACCAAGUGCUUUCAACAGUGAACUUUACUGCAAAUCUGCAUGGAAAUGAGUCUUCCGAUAACUAGUUGAAACCAGCUGCACAGUGUGUGAUAUAAUUUCCUGGGAGAGAUUAAAAUUUACGAGAAUGUAAUUAAAGGGUAUUUAGAUGAACCUUCAGUGUCAAGUUUAAUGCAAAUAAACCACAUUUUUGUUUUAAUAGAUUUUUAGGGCAUGAACCUCUUUUAUAACGCAGUAACUUUUAUCUCAGAAUACUCACUUGCUUGUACUUAAGUUGCUCUUUUAAGCCCAAUUCAUAAGGUUCAAUUUUUCAUCCUCCAACACGACCAACAAUUUUCAUCCGAUGAAGUUAGAAGGAAAGUUCAACGAAAAGUAGAACCAUGUGUAAUGGGCUUUAACUUGAUUGUUCAUCUAUUGGAUGGACAAACAGUUUAAGACGGAUUCGAUGGAUGUCAUCAGAUAUUUCAUCUUUGAGUUUUGCGUCUCUUAUACAAAACACAACAAAAUGAUCGAACUCAAAACAACCAGUUGCCAAGUUUGAAGAGAGAGUGUAUGAGCUGUAUUUCCUGAAAAUUCAGCCUGUCGGUCCAAGUUUACCUGUUAACUUAAGUGAGGCCAAAUAUUUUCAAGAAAUUUCUUGUAUGAUGACUCGUUUGAUUCACUAACCUUGCUAUGCUCUGCAGACAAAAUUGUUACACUUUCCUCAUCAAUGUGUUUCAAAAUUGCUUUACUUUUAUCCCAAUCCUCUAUCAUAGCGUCCAAUAUUUGCACCCACCAUAUCAGAUUACUUUGCGAUUCAUCGUUGUUUUUGGAUAAGUUGUCAAACAAAUUUGCAGCCGCUGUUGCAUAGACGCAACUUCCUGCAGAUCAACAAACUUAAGCAGUUUUCGCUUUUGGAAGAAUGAGAUUGAAAAUGUUUUUUAGCCAGACUAUUUUCAACAUAAAUUUUUUAGGCUUUGGUUUGCAGUAAUUAGGAUGGAAUUAAAGUAAGAAGUUCACCUAUUUCUGUAAUUCAAAAAUUGUCAGUGCUAUGAGUAAUUUCAAACCAGUGUUCAAGCAUUUCUAAUCUCAGCUCAACUUUCUGAAGAGCUAUAAUUUUUUUAAGGUUGGCAAAAGCAUUGCAGAGGAAUGGUAGAUUUACCAAAUGCCCCUCUCCACCAAACAUGCCCACUUUUCAAGCAUAGUGAAACUUCUCACUAUCAGUGAGUUUAAGUCUUUUGAAAGUACCUUGAAAAGGACUCUACCACACUGAUUGUGUUCGAUUCCACAGUGUCUGAAAAGUAAGCGCCUUUUAAAGAGAGCUAGAUUUGGUAAAUUCUCAAUGCAUCCGGGACACUCUCGCAAAAUGUAGAAAAUGAUUGUUAAUGACAAAACAGAGAGAUACCUCAGUGAAAACUGCAUUUUUAUAUAUGACAGCCAAAAUGAAACUUUUGUAAACAGAGAGUAUACCUGCUACAAGACUACUUAGUUUGUUGUUACUUUUGGCUUUUGGCAUCGACAGCUUUUGAGUCAUAAAACAAGAAACCUUCCUUCCAAAUCUACCCUUGUAUGAUCAUGCUAGGGAGCAACACACACAUUUUUCAGAAGAAAAAUCUCCUAAUUCAGAGGGGCUUUUCUUCAUAUUCGGUCUCCACAUGUCUAUGAGCAUCGGAGCCACUUACCAAGUGAUGAAUUCUUAGAAAAUGAGAUGAUGUUUUUACUCAUCGUCAUCAUAAUUAAUAAAACCAACAAUAAAUUAAACAAUAAAAUUGCAAUUUUAAGGUGAAUGAAAGUACCUCUUUCAAACCCCUCCUCAUCAACAUGCAUUUUUUUUUUUAGGAAAACUAAGAACAUUUUUUCAAUACUAUCUGUACGUAUAUUUAUGUAUUUCAAGUACCAUGAGAGCUGUCUCAAAAUGUCACUCGCUAGCACAGAAACACAUAAUGUUACUCACUUAAUUUAUCAAGAAAAAUGUAUUUUAUAAUAAUUAAAAAUCUGUUUUGUUGAGUGCGUGCAUAGAUGACAGUUCAUUAACAGUUUUAAAGUUCAUUCAUCUCUGUUUCUGUGCAGCAUUUUCCUCUCGUUAGCUAUGAAAACUUUUGCCAAAUCGUCAGUUUCAUUCCCACUUGCAUCUUUUCUUUUCAUCUUUCAUACUUUUGUAUCCAAUAUAAAAAAAAUCAAUGGAUAUAAAUACCAAUUAUUGUAUUAAUUGCGCUCACAAAUUCUUCCUUAUUCAAGGGUAUACCACAGUAUGAUGAUUCCUGUUGCAUUAUACUGUAACGAUACUUCUUUUCUCCAUUUAAUCCAGCCCGUUCAUGAGGAAAGAAAAACAAUUUCAGUUGCAGAAGAUCAUCUGAAUCUAAUCGGUUCAGGAGGCUACUGCCACUAACGGAGUAUACAUUAUCUUGUGGGGAGUAAUCAAAACUGUAUGAAAAAUAACAGAGAGUAGAAAUGGUUAUAAAAUCAUGUCGAUGGAAGUAAAUUUUUUUUAUCUGCCCAAUGAUAUUAUCCAAACAAAAGGGAAUAUAUUCUUGCAAAAUUUUGUCUUCAGAUUUGUAAGCAAAUCUCAUUUCAUUCAUAAUUUUUUUUUCUCCACCCAUACAAGAGUUAAUCAGUAUUCUGUAAAUUUUCAAUGCAAAACUAUUGGCAUCUUCAGAAUUAAAGUACGAUCGGUCUUUUAUAGAACACAUACUAUUGUACUCAUCAAAUUUGAGCAGCUUCAAGUUGAGGAGAUACCUCCCUGGAAUUGGGAUUUAAAAUUGUUUUAUGUCAAAUCCUAUUACAAUGGCAAGGAUGAAGUUCUCUAAAAUUCACUUCCACCCCUAAUUCUAUCUCUAUAGGUAUUUACAAGUAUAUCUCCGUUACCUCAAACUUGUCAGUGCAGAACUUUCACUCAUUUUUCACGACCCUCAGAUCACUUGUUCUCAUCUGGAAAAGAAUAAAAUAACUUUGGUUAAAGGCCUCCUAACUUAGGUACAACUUAGUUAGGGUCGAAACUUCAAACCGUUUUACUACAUCAAUUUUUGAGUUUCCGUUGUACCCAAUGUUUUAAUAAUUUGCCUAUCACCCAGAUCCGUGAACGUCAAGAAAAUGAGCCGUGCUUAUUCAACAAGAAGGUUCCUUUGAUCCAGCAAUGGCAAUUUCAUUAGCAAAGUUGUACACUAUCAAGUUAUGGGCUGAGAGGGCAUUGAGAAGCACAUUCAUUUGGUGCAGCUGAAAUAUAUUUAAAGAAAGCCAUAAAAAUCUUUCUUAUCAUUGCUGUUAUUACAAGAAGAGCGAGUUUUAUAAUAUCACUCCUGCAGGGCCCUCAAAGAGAUGUUAGAGAAUCUUACCUAUGUGAAAUUUUAUCAUUAAUUAAGGUGCUCAAAAUUUCAAGUUUUGUGCAAUCUCUGUGGUGUACUUAAGUGUUACCCAAUGUUUGCACAACCUUGUGCACCGCUAAAAAAUUUUACAGGCGCUCAAGGCCAUCUGGUUCCUGCAGUCGAAUCGUGGGUGAAUUUGGUGAUAAGGAAGUCGGACCAAAACA
This 4351-nucleotide long non-coding RNA is filed under the name Bemisia tabaci. Its description in RNAcentral is "lncRNA ENSSSA3NGG014692". Lineage: Eukaryota; Metazoa; Arthropoda; Insecta; Hemiptera; Aleyrodidae. The record is from RNAcentral.